CCCGCGGCGAGACGGAAAGACCCCGUGAACCUUUACUAUAGCUUGACACUGAACAUUGAGCCUUGAUGUGUAGGAUAGGUGGGAGGCUUUGAAGUGUGGACGCCAGUCUGCAUGGAGCCGACCUUGAAAUACCACCCUUUAAUGUUUGAUGUUCUAACGUUGACCCGUAAUCCGGGUUGCGGACAGUGUCUGGUGGGUAGUUUGACUGGGGCGGUCUCCUCCUAAAGAGUAACGGAGGAGCACGAAGGUUGGCUAAUCCUGGUCGGACAUCAGGAGGUUAGUGCAAUGGCAUAAGCCAGCUUGACUGCGAGCGUGACGGCGCGAGCAGGUGCGAAAGCAGGUCAUAGUGAUCCGGUGGUUCUGAAUGGAAGGGCCAUCGCUCAACGGAUAAAAGGUACUCCGGGGAUAACAGGCUGAUACCGCCCAAGAGUUCAUAUCGACGGCGGUGUUUGGCACCUCGAUGUCGGCUCAUCACAUCCUGGGGCUGAAGUAGGUCCCAAGGGUAUGGCUGUUCGCCAUUUAAAGUGGUACGCGAGCUGGGUUUAGAACGUCGUGAGACAGUUCGGUCCCUAUCUGCCGUGGGCGCUGGAGAACUGAGGGGGGCUGCUCCUAGUACGAGAGGACCGGAGUGGACGCAUCACUGGUGUUCGGGUUGUCAUGCCAAUGGCACUGCCCGGUAGCUAAAUGCGGAAGAGAUAAGUGCUGAAAGCAUCUAAGCACGAAACUUGCC
RNAcentral lists this ribosomal RNA (730 nucleotides) under Escherichia coli. Its description in RNAcentral is "partial 23S ribosomal RNA". It matches the Rfam family "Bacterial large subunit ribosomal RNA", at positions 2069 to 2798 of the family's 2925-position model. Lineage: Bacteria; Pseudomonadati; Pseudomonadota; Gammaproteobacteria; Enterobacterales; Enterobacteriaceae. The record is from RNAcentral.